RNAcentral lists this non-coding RNA (30 nucleotides) under Rattus norvegicus (Norway rat). The record is from RNAcentral. Lineage: Eukaryota; Metazoa; Chordata; Mammalia; Rodentia; Muridae.
UAGUGGUUUCUGCAGCUUGUAGCACACACU